This 125-nucleotide small nucleolar RNA is filed under the name Nannospalax galili (Upper Galilee mountains blind mole rat). Lineage: Eukaryota; Metazoa; Chordata; Mammalia; Rodentia; Spalacidae. The record is from RNAcentral.
GUGCAAACUCAUUGCUAGCUCUGCAUAUGUGGCAGCAGCUAAGGGAACCAGGUUUGCCAAAGCCAUUGUGGUGCUAAGAAUGCACUGGUCACCAAAGCUGGUGUGCAUUCUAUCCUGGUACAGCC